This 484-nucleotide ribosomal RNA is filed under the name uncultured bacterium. Its description in RNAcentral is "partial 16S ribosomal RNA". It matches the Rfam family "Bacterial small subunit ribosomal RNA", at positions 30 to 507 of the family's 1533-position model. The record is from RNAcentral.
AUUGAACGCUGGCGGCAGGCCUAACACAUGCAAGUCGAGCGGAUGAAGGGAGCUUGCUCCUGGAUUCAGCGUCGGACGGGUGAGUAAUUCCUAGGAAUCUGCCUGGUAGUGGGGGAUAACGUCCGGAAACGGGCGCUAAUACCGCAUACGUCCUGAGGGAGAAAGUGGGGGAUCUUCGGACCUCACGCUAUCAGAUGAGCCUAGGUCGGAUUAGCUAGUUGGUGGGGUAAAGGCCUACCAAGGCGACGAUCCGUAACUGGUCUGAGAGGAUGAUCAGUCACACUGGAACUGAGACACGGUCCAGACUCCUACGGGAGGCAGCAGUGGGGAAUAUUGGACAAUGGGCGAAAGCCUGAUCCAGCCAUGCCGCGUGUGUGAAGAAGGUCUUCGGAUUGUAAAGCACUUUAAGUUGGGAGGAAGGGCAGUAAGUUAAUACCUUGCUGUUUUGACGUUACCAACAGAAUAAGCACCGGCUAACUUCGUG